RNAcentral lists this ribosomal RNA (699 nucleotides) under uncultured archaeon. Its description in RNAcentral is "partial 16S ribosomal RNA". It matches the Rfam family "Archaeal small subunit ribosomal RNA", at positions 52 to 757 of the family's 1478-position model. The record is from RNAcentral.
UGCGAGUCAUUGUAGUAAUACAAGGCAGANGGCUCAGUAACGCGNNNNNNNNNNNACCUAUGGACGGGAAUAACCUCGGGAAACUGAGNNUNNNGCCCGAUAGAACAUUAUGCCUGGAAUGGUUUAUGUUCCAAAUGAUUUAUCGCCGUAGGAUGGGACUGCGGCCUAUCAGUUUGUUGGUGAGGUAAUGGCCCACCAAGACUAUUACAGGUACGGGCUCUGAGAGGAGUAGCCCGGAGAUGGGUACUGAGACACGGACCCAGGCCCUAUGGGGCGCAGCAGGCGAGAAAACUUUGCAAUGUGCGAAAGCACGACAAGGUUAAUCCGAGUGGUUUCUGCUAAAGGAACCUUUUGACAGUCCUAGAAACACUGUUGAAUAAGGGGUGGGCAAGUUCUGGUGUCAGCCGCCGCGGUAAAACCAGCACCUCAAGUGGUCAGGAUGAUUAUUGGGCCUAAAGCAUCCGUAGCCGGCUCUGUAAGUUUUCGGUUAAAUCUGUACGCUCAACGUACAGGCUGCCGGGAAUACUGCAGAGCUAGGGAGUGGGAGAGGUAGACGGUACUCGGUAGGAAGGGGUAAAAUCCUUUGAUCUAUUGAUGACCACCUGUGGCGAAGGCGGUCUACCAGAANACGUCCGACGGNGAGGGAUGAAAGCUGGGGNAGCAAACCGGAUUAGAUACCCGGGUAGUCCCAGCUGUAAA